RNAcentral lists this ribosomal RNA (305 nucleotides) under uncultured bacterium. RNAcentral's name for it is "bacterial SSU rRNA". It matches the Rfam family "Bacterial small subunit ribosomal RNA", at positions 338 to 643 of the family's 1533-position model. The record is from RNAcentral.
CCUACGGGAGGCAGCAGUGGGGAAUAUUGCACAAUGGGGGAAACCCUGAUGCAGCGACGCCGUGUGAGUGAAGAAGCGUUUCGGCGCGUAAAGCUCUGUCAGCGGGGAAGAAACACGGUUCGCGAGAGCCGCGGACGGUACCCGACCAAGAAGCCCCGGCUAACUACGUGCCAGCAGCCGCGGUAAUACGUAGGUGGCGAGCGUUAUCCGGAAUGAUUGGGCGUAAAGGGUGCGUAGGCGGCCUGCUAAGUCUGGAGUGAAAGGUACCGGCUCAACCGGUACAGGCUCUGGAAACUGGCGGGCUA